UCUCGGAUUUGUUCCCGCAGAACCUCCGACGACUGUCCGAACUUUCGUCGAGCUCUCGAACUCCCAACGUGAUCAUUGUCAUGACUCCGGCGUAACUCCUGCUGCUGUUGAAUCUCGGAUUUUGAUGAUGUAAUCAAUUGGUGGGUUAAUUGAUCUAAUCCAUAUUAUUGAGUUAAGUGUGCAGGAUUAACUACGAUAACCAG
Molecule: long non-coding RNA, 203 nt
Filed under: Musa acuminata (dwarf banana)
Lineage: Eukaryota; Viridiplantae; Streptophyta; Magnoliopsida; Zingiberales; Musaceae
Description: long non-coding RNA (MACU_LNC011022)
Source: RNAcentral